RNAcentral lists this ribosomal RNA (301 nucleotides) under uncultured bacterium. Its description in RNAcentral is "partial 16S ribosomal RNA". It matches the Rfam family "Bacterial small subunit ribosomal RNA", at positions 509 to 809 of the family's 1533-position model. The record is from RNAcentral.
CAGUCGCCACGGUAAUACGGAGGAUCCAAGCGUUAUCCGGACUUAUUGGGUUUAAAGGGUGCGUAGGUGGCCUGUUAAGUCAGGGGUGAAAGACGGUAGCUUAACUAUCGCAGUGCCCUUGAUACUGAUGGGCUUGAAUGAACUAGAGGUAGGCGGAAUGUGACAAGUAGCGGUGAAAUGCAUAGAUAUGUCACAGAACACCAAUUGCGAAGGCAGCUUACUAUGGUUUUAUUGACACUGAGGCACGAAAGCGUGGGGAUCAAAUAGGAUUAGAUACCCCCGUAGUCCCUGUCUCUUAUAU